GGGUAACCUGCCCAAGAGAUCGGGAUAACACCUGGAAACAGAUGCUAAUACCGGAUAACAACAGAUGAUGCCUAUCAACUGUUUAAAAGAUGGUUCUGCUAUCACUCUUGGAUGGACCUGCGGUGCAUUAGCUAGUUGGUAGGGUAACGGCCUACCAAGGCGAUGAUGCAUAGCCGAGUUGAGAGACUGAUCGGCCACAUUGGGACUGAGACACGGCCCAAACUCCUACGGGAGGCAGCAGCC
RNAcentral lists this ribosomal RNA (243 nucleotides) under uncultured Lactobacillus sp. Its description in RNAcentral is "partial 16S ribosomal RNA". It matches the Rfam family "Bacterial small subunit ribosomal RNA", at positions 119 to 355 of the family's 1533-position model. The record is from RNAcentral. Lineage: Bacteria; Bacillati; Bacillota; Bacilli; Lactobacillales; Lactobacillaceae.